GUCCACGCCGUAAACUAUGGAUGCUAGCAGUUACUCGUAUCGACCCGAGUAGUUGCGAAGCUAACGCGUUAAGCAUCCCGCCUGUGGAGUACGGCCGCAAGGCUAAAACAUAAAGGAAUUGACGGGGACCCGCACAAGCGGUGGAGCGUGUUGUUUAAUUCGAUGGUAAGCGAAGAACCUUACCCAGGUUUGACAUCCUGCGAAGGACUACGAAAGUAGACUGUGCCUUUUGGAACGCAGUGACAGGUGUUGCAUGGCCGUCGU
This 264-nucleotide ribosomal RNA is filed under the name uncultured bacterium. Its description in RNAcentral is "partial 16S ribosomal RNA". It matches the Rfam family "Bacterial small subunit ribosomal RNA", at positions 793 to 1055 of the family's 1533-position model. The record is from RNAcentral.